GACGAACGCUGGCGGCGUGCCUAACACAUGCAAGUCGAGCGAGGUGAUCCUUUCGGGGUGAACCUAGCGGCGGACGGGUGAGUAACACGUGGGCAACCUGCCUUGUAGAGGGGAAUAGCCUUCCGAAAGGAAGAUUAAUACCGCAUAACAUUACACUUUCGCAUGAAGGAGUAAUUAAAGGAGCAAUCCGCUACAAGAUGGGCCCGCGGCGCAUUAGCUAGUUGGUGAGGUAACGGCUCACCAAGGCGACGAUGCGUAGCCGACCUGAGAGGGUGAUCGGCCACAUUGGGACUGAGACACGGCCCAAACUCCUACGGGAGGCAG
RNAcentral lists this ribosomal RNA (324 nucleotides) under uncultured Bacillota bacterium. RNAcentral describes it as "bacterial SSU rRNA". It matches the Rfam family "Bacterial small subunit ribosomal RNA", at positions 28 to 351 of the family's 1533-position model. The record is from RNAcentral. Lineage: Bacteria; Bacillati; Bacillota.